Molecule: ribosomal RNA, 420 nt
Filed under: Triticum aestivum (bread wheat)
Lineage: Eukaryota; Viridiplantae; Streptophyta; Magnoliopsida; Poales; Poaceae
Description: partial small subunit ribosomal RNA
Source: RNAcentral
AUGCGAUCAGGGUGGUCCUCAAUAUCAAAGAUGAUAGGCGUGCUGGACCAUUUCAGAGGCUUGCGUGACUCGAUGGGUGGUUCUGCUGCAUUGACUUCCCGCACCCACUGCUUGAGCUGGCGGUGUGAAGUAUGCAGAGAAGCACCACCGUCAACGCACAGGAACUCUGUGGCUUUCUGGAACUCCUGCUCAUCGGUCUCAUCUUCAUCCAUAUCUUCAUCGUCGUUGUCAUCUUCAUCCUUGUCGCGGCCGCGGGGAGGUCUGUCUCCUUGCCGCUGCUUGGCCUUGCCGCGGCGUCCUCCUCGGCCGGGAUGUUUCUUGCUAGCUCCUCCAGCACCUUCCUGGGCUUUCUCCUUGUCGUGCCGCUCGUAUUCAGCCUUUUGCUGCUCAACAAGCUGCUCGACCUUCUUACAGCUCUAG